GAUGAAGAACGUAGCGAAAUGCGAUAAGUAAUGUGAAUUGCAGAAUUCAGUGAAUCAUCGAAUCUUUGAACGCACAUUGCGCCCGUCAGUAUUCUGGCGGGCAUGCCUGUUCGAGCGUCAUUACGCCCCUCAAGUCCCCUGUGGACUUGGUGUUGGGGAUCGGCGAGGCUGGUUUUCCAGCACAGCCGUCCCUUAAAUUAAUUGGCGGUCUCGCCGUGGCCCUCCUCUGCGCAGUAGUAAAACACUCGCAACAGGAGCCCGGCGCGGUCCACUGCCGUAAAACCCCCCAACUUUUUAUAGUUGACCUCGAAUCAGGUAGGACUACCCGCUGAACUUAAGCCUAUCAAUAAGCGGAGGA
This 358-nucleotide unclassified non-coding RNA is filed under the name soil metagenome. RNAcentral's name for it is "partial contains 5.8S ribosomal RNA, internal transcribed spacer 2, and large subunit ribosomal RNA". The stretch from base 1 to 120 matches the Rfam family "5.8S ribosomal RNA", at positions 35 to 154 of the family's 154-position model. The record is from RNAcentral.